CCACCUUUGACAUGGCAGGAAGGCUCCAGAGAUGGGGCUGUGCUCGAAAGAGAACCUGCACACAGGUGCUGCAUGGCUGUCGUCAGCUCGUGUCGUGAGAUGUUGGGUUAAGUCCCGCAACGAGCGCAACCCUUGCCAUUAGUUGCUACGAAAGGGCACUCUAAUGGGACUGCCGGUGACAAGCCGGAGGAAGGUGGGGAUGACGUCAAGUCCUCAUGGCCCUUAUAGGUGGGGCUGCACACGUCAUACAAUGGCCGGUACAAAGGGUAGCCAACCCGCGAGGGGGAGCCAAUCCCAUAAAGCCGGUCGUAGUCCGGAUCGCAGUCUGCAACUCGACUGCGUGAAGUCGGAAUCGCUAGUAAUCGUGGAUCAGCAUGUCACGGUGAAUACGUUCCC
Molecule: ribosomal RNA, 396 nt
Filed under: uncultured bacterium
Lineage: Bacteria
Description: bacterial SSU rRNA
Rfam family: Bacterial small subunit ribosomal RNA
Source: RNAcentral